CAGCCGCCACGGUAAUACGAAGGGGGCUAGCGUUGCUCGGAAUUACUGGGCGUAAAGGGAGCGUAGGCGGAUCGUUUAGUCAGGGGUGAAGUCCCGGGGCUCAACCUCGGAACUGCCUUUGAUACUGGCGAUCUUGAGUAUGGGAGAGGUGUGUGGAACUCCGAGUGUAGAGGUGAAAUUCGUAGAUAUUCGGAAGAACACCAGUGGCGAAGGCGGCUUACUGGCUCGAAACUGACGCUGAGGCGCGAAAGCGUGGGGAGCAAACAGGAUUAGAUACCCCUGUAGUCCCUGUCUCUUAUAC
Molecule: ribosomal RNA, 301 nt
Filed under: uncultured bacterium
Lineage: Bacteria
Description: partial 16S ribosomal RNA
Rfam family: Bacterial small subunit ribosomal RNA
Source: RNAcentral